ACAAUGAAGAGUUUGAUCCUGGCUCAGGAUGAACGCUAGCUACAGGCUUAACACAUGCAAGUCGAGGGGCAUCAGGAAGAAAGCUUGCUUUCUUUGCUGGCGACCGGCGCACGGGUGAGUAACACGUAUCCAACCUGCCCUUUACUCGGGGAUAGCCUUUCGAAAGAAAGAUUAAUACCCGAUAGCAUAAUGAUUCCGCAUGGUUUCAUUAUUAAAGGAUUCCGGUAAAGGAUGGGGAUGCGUUCCAUUAGGUUGUUGGUGAGGUAACGGCCCACCAAGCCUUCGAUGGAUAGGGGUUCUGAGAGGAAGGUCCCCCACAUUGGAACUGAGACACGGUCCAAACUCCUACGGGAGGCAGCAGUGAGGAAUAUUGGUCAAUGGGCGAUAGCCUGAACCAGCCAAGUAGCGUGAAGGAUGAAGGCUCUAUGGGUCGUAAACUUCUUUUAUAUAAGAAUAAAGUGCAGUAUGUAUACUGUUUUGUAUGUAUUAUAUGAAUAAGGAUCGGCUAACUCCGUGCCAGCAGCCGCGGUAAUACGGAGGAUCCGAGCGUUAUCCGGAUUUAUUGGGUUUAAAGGGAGCGUAGGUGGACUGGUAAGUCAGUUGUGAAAGUUUGCGGCUCAACCGUAAAAUUGCAGUUGAUACUGUCAGUCUUGAGUACAGUAGAGGUGGGCGGAAUUCGUGGUGUAGCGGUGAAAUGCUUAGAUAUCACGAAGAACUCCGAUUGCGAAGGCAGCUCACUGGACUGCAACUGACACUGAUGCUCGAAAGUGUGGGUAUCAAACAGGAUUAGAUACCCUGGUAGUCCACACAGUAAACGAUGAAUACUCGCUGUUUGCGAUAUACAGUAAGCGGCCAAGCGAAAGCAUUAAGUAUUCCACCUGGGGAGUACGCCGGCAACGGUGAAACUCAAAGGAAUUGACGGGGGCCCGCACAAGCGGAGGAACAUGUGGUUUAAUUCGAUGAUACGCGAGGAACCUUACCCGGGCUUAAAUUGCAGUGGAAUGAUGUGGAAACAUGUCAGUGAGCAAUCACCGCUGUGAAGGUGCUGCAUGGUUGUCGUCAGCUCGUGCCGUGAGGUGUCGGCUUAAGUGCCAUAACGAGCGCAACCCUUAUCUUCAGUUACUAACAGGUCAUGCUGAGGACUCUGGAGAGACUGCCGUCGUAAGAUGUGAGGAAGGUGGGGAUGACGUCAAAUCAGCACGGCCCUUACGUCCGGGGCUACACACGUGUUACAAUGGGGGGUACAGAAGGCAGCUAGCGGGUGACCGUAUGCUAAUCCCAAAAGCCUCUCUCAGUUCGGAUCGAAGUCUGCAACCCGACUUCGUGAAGCUGGAUUCGCUAGUAAUCGCGCAUCAGCCACGGCGCGGUGAAUACGUUCCCGGGCCUUGUACACACCGCCCGUCAAGCCAUGGGAGCCGGGGGGUACCUGAAGUACGUAACCGCAAGGAUCGUCCUAGGGUAAAACUGGUGACUGGGGCUAAGUCGUAACAAGGUAGCCGUACCGGAAGGUGCGGCUGGAACACCUCCUUU
Molecule: ribosomal RNA, 1530 nt
Filed under: Bacteroides fragilis
Lineage: Bacteria; Pseudomonadati; Bacteroidota; Bacteroidia; Bacteroidales; Bacteroidaceae
Description: bacterial SSU rRNA
Rfam family: Bacterial small subunit ribosomal RNA
Source: RNAcentral